GGGGAAUAUUGCACAAUGGGGGGAAACCCUGGAUGCAGCGACGCCGCGUGAGCGAGGAAGUAUUUCGGUAUGUAAAGCUCUAUCAGCAGGGGACGAAAAAAGACGGUACCUGACUAAGAAACCCCGGCUUAAUAC
RNAcentral lists this ribosomal RNA (135 nucleotides) under uncultured bacterium. Its description in RNAcentral is "partial 16S ribosomal RNA". It matches the Rfam family "Bacterial small subunit ribosomal RNA", at positions 356 to 504 of the family's 1533-position model. The record is from RNAcentral.